Molecule: ribosomal RNA, 215 nt
Filed under: Glomeromycotina sp.
Lineage: Eukaryota; Fungi; Glomeromycota
Description: partial small subunit ribosomal RNA
Rfam family: Eukaryotic small subunit ribosomal RNA (bases 74-215)
Source: RNAcentral
GGGUCAGUAGGUUGGUCGUGCCACCGGUACGUACUGGUCUCACUGAUUCCUCCUCCCGAAGAACCGUAAUGCCAUUAAUUUGGUGUUGCGGGGAAGCAGGACUGUUACUUUGAAAAAAUUAGAGUGUUUAAAGCAAGCUAACGCUUGAAUACAUUAGCAUGGAAUAAUGAAAUAGGACGAUCGAUCCUAUUUUGUUGGUUUCUAGGAUUGACGUA